CAGGAGCUGGACGUGGCGGUCCGCCGGGCCCACGAGGCCUGGCGGAGCUGGCGGUCCGACCCCGCCGCCCGUGCC
Molecule: transfer RNA, 75 nt
Filed under: Streptomyces globisporus
Lineage: Bacteria; Bacillati; Actinomycetota; Actinomycetes; Kitasatosporales; Streptomycetaceae
Description: tRNA-Arg
Source: RNAcentral